UUUGAAAACUGGACCAGCAGACAAAUGAAUGAAAAGUUGGCAACAGCACCAUGCCAUGGAGGUCAGAAGCAGGAAAGACUUGGGUUCAAGUCUAACACUUAGGACCUUGGAACUACCUUGGAGAAGUAACUUACUUCUCCAAGUAAAGAGAAACCACAAGAGAGGCUCUGGCCUAUGUUUUCCUCUUGCUGUCUCCUGACCCAGCCUGGUGCUUCCCUGCAAGACUCCCCACGAUGCGGGUGCCCCUCCUCUUGGGAUCGAUCAUGAAACUCUCGUGACCUGCAUGUGAGUGGUGCUCUCGUAAGUGGAGCCUUCUUAUGACUGAAGACCAGGGAAUCACCCAGAAGAACACCAACAAGCAAGCGUUGGUAGAUGCCUGCAGUUUACAACACCUACCUCACACUGUCAUGCCACUCCACGGCUGGCUGCUCUUCAUCAAACCUUGCAUAAACAUACACAGGUCCAUUCCUCUGGGUCUUCAUUUCCUUGUGGAGGCUCCCAUGUCACACAAAACUUAUAUUAAAUAACUUUGCAAGUUCUUCUUCUGUUAAA
Mustela lutreola (European mink) is the source of this 552-nucleotide long non-coding RNA. RefSeq lists it as uncharacterized. Lineage: Eukaryota; Metazoa; Chordata; Mammalia; Carnivora; Mustelidae. The record is from RefSeq and is a predicted model, not a curated record. The transcript has 3 exons.